UACAGAGGUCUCAACCGUUGUUCGGAUUCAUUGGGCGUAAAGGGUGCGUAGGCGGUCGUGUAAGUCGGAUGUGAAAUCUCAGGGCUUAACCCUGAAACUGCAUUCGAUACUGCAUGGCUAGGGUGCUGGAGAGGAGACUGGAAUUUACGGUGUAGCAGUGAAAUGCGUAGAUAUCGUAAGGAAGACCGGUGGCGAAGGCGAGUCUCUGGACAGCUACCGACGCUGAGGCACGAAGGCCAGGGGAGCAAACGGG
Molecule: ribosomal RNA, 253 nt
Filed under: uncultured bacterium
Lineage: Bacteria
Description: partial 16S ribosomal RNA
Rfam family: Bacterial small subunit ribosomal RNA
Source: RNAcentral